RNAcentral lists this small RNA (281 nucleotides) under Tupaia belangeri (northern tree shrew). RNAcentral describes it as "7SK RNA (ENSTBEG00000020718.1)". Lineage: Eukaryota; Metazoa; Chordata; Mammalia; Scandentia; Tupaiidae. The record is from RNAcentral.
GGAUGUAAACGCAACCUGGCUGAGAUAGCAGCUAUGGAGAUGACUGCAUCAAUGUGACCGCUCUGCUAGGCUACCUGUCCUGUCUUCCACCAGCUCUCAUAGCUUCAUGCAGGGGCUUUUCACACAUAGAAAAGGAGCCAGUCAGUCAAGUGUAUAGCAACAACUCUUCUCUCCUUCCAGAACCUCUAAACGAACUAUUAUUGAUCAUUUGUAUGGGAAUAUGAUUUAAUUAAGUUUCUAAGACAUAAUGUUAAGAAUAUAUGUAAAUAACAUUCUCCUGA